AGCGACUAAGCGUACACGGUGGAUGCCCUGGCAGUMAGAGGCGAURAAGGGCGUGCUAAUCUGCGAUAAGCGACGGUAAGCCGAUAURAGGCGCUAUACCCGUCGAUACCCGAAUGGGAAACCCGGUGCACUGCGGUGCAUCAUCGUUAAGUGAAUACAUAGCUUAACGAGGCGAACCUGGGGAACUGAAACAUCUAAGUACCCAGAGGAAAAGAAAUCAACCGAGAUUCCCCCAGUAGCGGCGAGCGAACGGGGAACAGCCCAGAACCUGAAUCAGUUUGUGUGUCAGUGGAAGCGUCUGGAAAGUCGCAGGGUACAGGGUGAUACUCCCGUACACAAAGGCACACUUGCUGUGAGUUCGAUGAGUAGGGCGGGACACGUGACAWCCUGUCUGAAUAUGGGGGGACCAUCCUCCAAGGCUAAAUACUCCUGACUGACCGAUAGUGAACCAGUACCGUGAGGGAAAGGCGAAAAGAACCCCGGCGAGGGGAGUGAAACAGAACCUGAAACCGUGUACGUACAAGCAGUGGAAGCCCUCUUCAGGGGGGUGACUGCGUACCUUUUGUAUAAUGGGUCAGCGACUUAUAUUCUGUAGCAAGGUUAACCGUAUAGGGGAGCCGCAGGGAAACCGAGUCUUAACUGGGCGUUAAGUUGCAGGGUAUAGACCCGAAACCCGGUGAUCUAGCCAUGGGCAGGUUGAAGGUUGGGUAACACUAACUGGAGGACCGAACCGACUAAUGUUGAAAAAUUAGCGGAUGACUUGUGGCUGGGGGUGAAAGGCCAAUYAAACCGGGAGAWAGCUGGUUCUCCCCGAAAGCUAUUUAGGUAGCGCCUYGUGAACUCAUCUUCCGGGGGUAGARCACUGUUUCGGCUARGGGGCCAUCCCGGCUUACCAACCCGAUGCAAACUGCGAA
This 914-nucleotide ribosomal RNA is filed under the name Winslowiella toletana. Its description in RNAcentral is "bacterial LSU rRNA". It matches the Rfam family "Bacterial large subunit ribosomal RNA", at positions 1 to 961 of the family's 2925-position model. The record is from RNAcentral. Lineage: Bacteria; Pseudomonadati; Pseudomonadota; Gammaproteobacteria; Enterobacterales; Erwiniaceae.